RNAcentral lists this ribosomal RNA (388 nucleotides) under uncultured bacterium. Its description in RNAcentral is "bacterial SSU rRNA". It matches the Rfam family "Bacterial small subunit ribosomal RNA", at positions 29 to 420 of the family's 1533-position model. The record is from RNAcentral.
AACGAACGCUGGCGGCAUGCCUUACACAUGCAAGUCGAACGGCAGCGGACCUUCGGGUGCCGGCGAGUGGCGAACGGGUGAGUAAUAUAUCGGAACGUACCUUUCAGUGGGGGAUAACGUAGCGAAAGUUACGCUAAUACCGCAUAUUCUGUGAGCAGGAAAGCAGGGGAUCGCAAGACCUUGCGCUGAUUGAGCGGCCGAUAUCAGAUUAGCUAGUUGGUGAGGUAAAGGCUCACCAAGGCGACGAUCUGUAGCGGGUCUGAGAGGAUGAUCCGCCACACUGGAACUGAGACACGGUCCAGACUCCUACGGGAGGCAGCAGUGGGGAAUUUUGGACAAUGGGCGCAAGCCUGAUCCAGCCAUGCCGCGUGAGUGAAGAAGGCCUCGG